UACGUAGGUGGCAAGCGUUGUCCGGAUUUAUUGGGCUUAAAGGGUGCGUAGGCGGUCCUAUAAGUCAGUUGUGAAAUACGGCAGCUUAACUGUCGAGGUGCAAUUGAUACUGCAGGACUUGAGUACAGACGAGGUAGGCGGAAUUGACGGUGUAGCGGUGAAAUGCUUAGAUAUCGUCAAGAACACCGAUAGCGAAGGCAGCUUACUAGACUGUAACUGACGCUGAUGCACGAAAGUGUGGGGAGCAAACAGG
This 253-nucleotide ribosomal RNA is filed under the name uncultured bacterium. RNAcentral's name for it is "partial 16S ribosomal RNA". It matches the Rfam family "Bacterial small subunit ribosomal RNA", at positions 524 to 776 of the family's 1533-position model. The record is from RNAcentral.